RNAcentral lists this ribosomal RNA (439 nucleotides) under Theileria annulata. RNAcentral's name for it is "SSU rRNA". It matches the Rfam family "Eukaryotic small subunit ribosomal RNA", at positions 590 to 1066 of the family's 1831-position model. Lineage: Eukaryota; Apicomplexa; Aconoidasida; Piroplasmida; Theileriidae. The record is from RNAcentral.
UCCAAUAGCGUAUAUUAAAAUUGUUGCAGUUAAAAAGCUCGUAGUUGAAUUUCUGCUGCAUUGCUUGUGUCCCUCUGGGGUCUGUGCAUGUGGCUUUUUUCGGACGGAGUUUCUUUGUCUGAAUGUUUACUUUGAGAAAAUUAGAGUGCUCAAAGCAGGCUUUCGCCUUGAAUAGUUUAGCAUGGAAUAAUAAAGUAGGACUUUGGUUCUAUUUUGUUGGUUUUAGGUACCAAAGUAAUGGUUAAUAGGAACAGUUGGGGGCAUUCGUAUUUAACUGUCAGAGGUGAAAUUCUUAGAUUUGUUAAAGACGAACUACUGCGAAAGCAUUUGCCAAGGAUGUUUUCAUUAAUCAAGAACGAAAGUUAGGGGAUCGAAGACGAUCAGAUACCGUCGUAGUCCAAACCAUAAACUAUGCCGACUAGAGAUUGGAGGUCGUCAG